CGCGUAGGCGGGUUUUUAAGUCAGGUGUGAAAACUCCAGGCUCAACUUGGAGAGUGCACUUGAAACUGGGGGCCUUGAGGACAGGAGAGGAAAGUGGAAUUCCUAGUGUAGCGGUGAAAUGCGUAGAUAUUAGGAGGAACACCAGUGGCGAAGGCGACUUUCUGGACUGUACCUGACGCUGAGGCGCGAAAGCAUGGGGAGCGAACG
Molecule: ribosomal RNA, 207 nt
Filed under: uncultured Bacillota bacterium
Lineage: Bacteria; Bacillati; Bacillota
Description: uncultured Firmicutes bacterium partial 16S ribosomal RNA
Rfam family: Bacterial small subunit ribosomal RNA
Source: RNAcentral